This 305-nucleotide ribosomal RNA is filed under the name uncultured bacterium. Its description in RNAcentral is "bacterial SSU rRNA". It matches the Rfam family "Bacterial small subunit ribosomal RNA", at positions 338 to 660 of the family's 1533-position model. The record is from RNAcentral.
CCUACGGGAGGCAGCAGUGGGGAAUAUUGCACAAUGGGGGAAACCCUGAUGCAGCGACGCCGCGUGAGCGAAGAAGUACCUCGGUAUGUAAAGCUCUAUCAGCAGGGAAGAAGAUGACGGUACCUGACCAAGAAGCUCCGGCUAAAUACGUGCCAGCAGCCGCGGUAAUACGUAUGGAGCAAGCGUUAUCCGGAUUUACUGGGUGUAAAGGGAGCGCAGGCGGCCUUGCAAGUCUGAUGUGAAAGGCCGGGGCCCAACCCCGGGACUGCAUUGGAAACUGCGAGGCUGGAGUGUCGGAGAGGCAG